UGGGGAAUUUUGGACAAUGGGCGAAAGCCUGAUCCAGCAAUGCCGCGUGCAGGAUGAAGGCCUUCGGGUUGUAAACUGCUUUUGUACGGAACGAAAAGCUUCGGGUUAAUACCCUGGAGUCAUGACGGUACCGUAAGAAUAAGCACCGGCUAACUACGUGCCAGCAGCCGCGGUAAUACGUAGGGUGCAAGCGUUAAUCGGAAUUACUGGGCGUAAAGCGUGCGCAGGCGGUCUUGUAAGACAGAGGUGAAAUCCCCGGGCUCAACCUGGGAACGGCCUUUGUGACUGCAAGGCUGGAGUGCGGCAGAGGGGGAUGGAAUUCCGCGUGUAGCAGUGAAAUGCGUAGAUAUGCGGAGGAACACCGAUGGCGAAGGCAAUCCCCUGGGCCUGCACUGACGCUCAUGCACGAAAGCGUGGGGAGCAAACAGG
RNAcentral lists this ribosomal RNA (429 nucleotides) under bacterium. RNAcentral's name for it is "partial 16S ribosomal RNA". It matches the Rfam family "Bacterial small subunit ribosomal RNA", at positions 355 to 776 of the family's 1533-position model. The record is from RNAcentral.